AUGUAUACUUGGAUGGGGUCUAUGGGCGAUUAGAAAAGCCCAGGUCCUAGGUUGGUGACCUCCAUUGCAUUUUGGGAGGGGUGCUCGCCUAAGGUCAGCCCCUGUGGCAGAACCUACGUCAUAAUUUGUUCCCGUGAGGGCCUACGUGCGCGCGGCCCUUG
This is a small nuclear RNA of Pyrus x bretschneideri (Chinese white pear), 161 nucleotides long. RefSeq annotates it as U1 spliceosomal RNA. The record is from RefSeq and is a predicted model, not a curated record. NCBI's taxonomy places the organism in Eukaryota, Viridiplantae, Streptophyta, Magnoliopsida, Rosales, Rosaceae. The transcript has a single exon.